UACGUAGGGCGCGAGCGUUGUCCGGAAUUAUUGGGCGUAAAGAGCUCGUAGGCGGCCUGUUGCGUCCGCUGUGAAAUCCCAGGGCUCAACCCUGGGCGUGCAGUGGAUACGGGCAGGCUGGAGGCAGGCAGGGGAGAACGGAAUUCCCAGUGUAGCGGUGAAAUGCGUAGAUAUUGGGAGGAACACCAGUGGCGAAGGCGGCUCACUGGACCAUAACUGACGCUGAUGCACGAAAGCUAGGGGAGCAAACAGG
RNAcentral lists this ribosomal RNA (253 nucleotides) under uncultured bacterium. Its description in RNAcentral is "partial 16S ribosomal RNA". It matches the Rfam family "Bacterial small subunit ribosomal RNA", at positions 524 to 776 of the family's 1533-position model. The record is from RNAcentral.